RNAcentral lists this unclassified non-coding RNA (596 nucleotides) under Homo sapiens (human). RNAcentral describes it as "aladin WD repeat nucleoporin (ENSG00000291836.1)". The record is from RNAcentral. Lineage: Eukaryota; Metazoa; Chordata; Mammalia; Primates; Hominidae.
CCGUGUGGGUGCAGCACUGUUCCUCCUCUCUGAGGCUUUUCCCUCAGCUUUCCAGCCAGCUGCCUGUGACAUAGCCUGUAUUUUCCUCUGGGUGAUCCACAGGCCUGGGAGGAUUAAUUUGUGGAUCAAUCUUCCUGUCCUACAACUGACAAAGGAUCCCCUAAAGACCCCUGGAAGGCUGGACCAUGGCACAAGAACUGCCUUCAUCCAUCACCGGGAGCAAGUGUGGAAGAGAUGCAUCAACAUUUGGCGUGAUGUGGGCCUUUUUGGGGUGCUAAAUGAAAUUGCAAACUCAGAAGAAGAGGUGUUUGAGUGGGUGAAGACGGCAUCCGGCUGGGCCCUGGCACUCUGUCGAUGGGCCUCUUCCCUCCAUGGGUCCCUGUUCCCCCAUCUGUCUCUCAGGAGCGAAGAUCUGAUCGCUGAAUUUGCCCAAGUCACAAAUUGGUCCAGCUGCUGCUUGCGUGUCUUUGCAUGGCACCCCCACACCAACAAGUUUGCAGUGGCCCUGCUAGAUGACUCAGUCCGUGUGUAUAAUGCCAGCAGCACCAUAGUCCCCUCCCUGAAGCACCGGCUGCAGCGAAAUGUGGCGUCUCUGG